This 378-nucleotide unclassified non-coding RNA is filed under the name uncultured bacterium. RNAcentral's name for it is "contains 16S-23S intergenic spacer region". The record is from RNAcentral.
UCCGGUUUGUCACCGGCAGUCUCGCAUGAGUCCCCAACUGAAUGUAGCAACUAAUGACAAGGGUUGCGCUCGUUGCGGGACUUAACCCAACAUCUCACGACACGAGCUGACGACAGCCAUGCAGCACCUGUGUUCUGGCUCCCUUUCGGGCACUUCCACAUCUCUGCAGAAUUCCAGACAUGUCAAGGGUAGGUAAGGUUUUUCGCGUUGCAUCGAAUUAAACCACAUCAUCCACCGCUUGUGCGGGUCCCCGUCAAUUCCUUUGAGUUUUAGCCCUGCGGCCGUACUCCCCAGGCGGGGCACUUAAUGCGUUAGCUUCGGCACGGAGGGAGUCGACACCCCCCACACCUAGUGCCCAUCGUUUACGGCGUGGACUAC